RNAcentral lists this long non-coding RNA (1525 nucleotides) under Cucumis sativus (cucumber). RNAcentral's name for it is "long non-coding RNA (CSAT_LNC000601)". Lineage: Eukaryota; Viridiplantae; Streptophyta; Magnoliopsida; Cucurbitales; Cucurbitaceae. The record is from RNAcentral.
UAAACUAAAUAAAUAAGAACCACUAAGAGUACCAAAAACCAAAAGUCUCAUAUUUUGCAUAUUAAAACCAUGUUUUCUCAAUGACACAACGCAGGCUUGAUUGAUCACCUAUUUCUUCUUCACAGCGGACUUGGUGACCUUGGCUCCUGUUGGGUCCUUCUUCUCCACACUCUUGAUAACACCAACAGCAACGGUUUGACGCAUAUCACGGACAGCAAAUCGACCCAAUGGUGGGUAUGUAGAGAAGGUCUCCACAACCAUGGGUUUGGUUGGAAUCAUCUUAACCAUACCGGCAUCUCCAUUCUUCAAGAACUUGGGCUCCUUCUCAAGCUCCUUAGCAGAUCGACGAUCGAUUUUGGUGAGGAUCUCAGCGAACUUAACAGCAAUGUGGGAAGUGUGGCAAUCAAGGACUGGAGCAUAACCAUUACCAAUCUGACCAGGGUGGUUCAUGAUGAUAACCUGAGAUGUAAAGUUAGCAGCUUCCUUGGCAGGGUCAUCCUUGGAGUUUGAGGCAACGAAACCACGCUUGAGAUCCUUGACAGCAACGUUCUUGACGUUGAAGCCAACAUUGUCACCUGGCAAAGCUUCUGGGAGAGACUCGUGGUGCAUUUCAACAGACUUAACUUCAGUGGUCAGUCCAGUUGGUCCGAAGGUAACAACCAUACCAGGCUUGAGGACACCAGUUUCAACACGUCCAACAGGGACAGUUCCAAUACCACCAAUCUUGUAAACGUCCUGAAGUGGGAGACGGAGGGGCUUGUCUGAGGGCCUCUUGGGCUCAGAGAUCAAGUCAAGAGCCUCAAGAAGGGUUGGUCCCUUGUACCAAUCAAGGUUGGUGGACCUCUCAAUCAUGUUGUCACCCUCGAAACCAGAGAUGGGAACGAAGGGGAUUUUGUCUGGGUUGUAUCCGACCUUCUUGAGGUAUGAUGAGACUUCCUUCACAAUUUCAUCGUACCUUGCCUUGGAGUAUUUGGGUGUGGUGGCAUCCAUCUACAGAAGACAACAAUGAAAGGCAACACAAAGAUACAUUAGAAAUUGGAUUAACUCAUGGCAAAAUUUGAAUGCUAUAUGAAAAUUUUAAUUAAUAAACUAGAAAGUUAAAACAGUAAGAAAUGGAAUAUCGAACACUCUAUUAACAACUAAGAAUAUUAAAUGUUGCAUUAUUAGCAAAGUAUCAGUGUCUAUUAUAUGGGGAGAGAGGGGGAUUUGAACCCCCAUUGAUUCUUCGAAAAGAACCACACCAGUUUUAGGACCGGAGCCAACACCCAAAUGGCCAUUCUCUCCUCGUGAAAACAGAAUUUAAUGACUAAUAAAGUGAACACAAAUCAUAGUCAGGACAAUGAUAAAUAAGUCCAUAGAUGCCAACAAAUAGCCACAUUGCAUCUUCACUAUGAAUGUGACCCUCUAUCAGAUUGAUAACAUGUAUUAUAUUGUCGAAUUUAACAACUAUUAAAUGCAUAAAGAAACUCAAACAUGCAAGAACGUAAUAUAAAAAAUGAAUGAAUGUAUAACAACCUUGUUGCAG